RNAcentral lists this ribosomal RNA (557 nucleotides) under Rhizobium sp. RDB-032. Its description in RNAcentral is "bacterial SSU rRNA". It matches the Rfam family "Bacterial small subunit ribosomal RNA", at positions 102 to 694 of the family's 1533-position model. Lineage: Bacteria; Pseudomonadati; Pseudomonadota; Alphaproteobacteria; Hyphomicrobiales; Rhizobiaceae. The record is from RNAcentral. RNAcentral also lists the same sequence under 23 other names.
ACGGGUGAGUAACGCGUGGGAACGUACCCUUUACUACGGAAUAACGCAGGGAAACUUGUGCUAAUACCGUAUGUGCCCUUCGGGGGAAAGAUUUAUCGGUAAGGGAUCGGCCCGCGUUGGAUUAGCUAGUUGGUGGGGUAAAGGCCUACCAAGGCGACGAUCCAUAGCUGGUCUGAGAGGAUGAUCAGCCACAUUGGGACUGAGACACGGCCCAAACUCCUACGGGAGGCAGCAGUGGGGAAUAUUGGACAAUGGGCGCAAGCCUGAUCCAGCCAUGCCGCGUGAGUGAUGAAGGCCCUAGGGUUGUAAAGCUCUUUCACCGGAGAAGAUAAUGACGGUAUCCGGAGAAGAAGCCCCGGCUAACUUCGUGCCAGCAGCCGCGGUAAUACGAAGGGGGCUAGCGUUGUUCGGAAUUACUGGGCGUAAAGCGCACGUAGGCGGACAUUUAAGUCAGGGGUGAAAUCCCAGAGCUCAACUCUGGAACUGCCUUUGAUACUGGGUGUCUUGAGUAUGGAAGAGGUGAGUGGAAUUCCGAGUGUAGAGGUGAAAUUCGUAGA